AGAGUUUGAUCCUGGCUCAGAGCGAACGCUGGCGGCGUGCUUAACACAUGCAAGUCGAGUGCACGGUAGCAAUACUGGUGCACGGCGCACGGGUGAGUAACACGUGGGCAACCUGCCCUCCAAAGGGGGAUAACCCGCCGAAAGGCGGGCUAAUACCGCAUGACAUUCCGGGGUCUUCGGAUCCUGGAUUCAAAGGUCGA
RNAcentral lists this ribosomal RNA (200 nucleotides) under uncultured bacterium. RNAcentral's name for it is "partial 16S ribosomal RNA". It matches the Rfam family "Bacterial small subunit ribosomal RNA", at positions 8 to 211 of the family's 1533-position model. The record is from RNAcentral.